Molecule: non-coding RNA, 31 nt
Filed under: Homo sapiens (human)
Lineage: Eukaryota; Metazoa; Chordata; Mammalia; Primates; Hominidae
Source: RNAcentral
UGAACUCACUUGAGUAAAGGUUUUGUGCCAC